RNAcentral lists this ribosomal RNA (253 nucleotides) under uncultured bacterium. RNAcentral describes it as "partial 16S ribosomal RNA". It matches the Rfam family "Bacterial small subunit ribosomal RNA", at positions 32 to 271 of the family's 1533-position model. The record is from RNAcentral.
AAUCAACGCUGGCGGCGUGCCUAACACAUGCAAGUCGAGCGCGAAAGCGGGGCAACUCGCAAGUAGAGCGGCGAACGGGUGAGUAACGCGUGGGUGAUCUACCUCCGAGUGGGGAACAACAUCGGGAAACUGGUGCUAAUACCGCAUGACAUCCUCGGGUCAUACUGAGGAUCAAAGCCGGGGACCGCAAGGCCUGGCGCUUGGAGAGGAGCCCGCGUCCGAUUAGCUAGUUGGCGGGGUAACGGCCCACCAA